GGUAUCUAAUCCUGUUUGCUCCCCACGCUUUCGUUCAUGAGCGUCAGUAAUAGUUUAGUGAGCUGCCUUCGCAAUUGGUGUUCCAUGUCAUAUCUAUGCAUUUCACCGCUACAUGACAUAUUCCGCCCACUUCAUCUAUACUCAAGAAUAUCAGUUUCAAUGGCAGUUCUACAGUUGAGCUGUAGGCUUUCACCACUGACUUAAAAUUCCGCCUGCGAACCCUUUAAACCUAAUAAAUCCGGAUAACGCUUGCACCCUCCGUAUUACCGCGGCUGCUGGCACGGAGUUAGCCGGUGCUUAUUCUUACAAUACCGUCAAGUUGGUACACGUACCAAGGUUUCUUCUUGUAAAAAAGCAGUUUACAACCCAUAGGGCCUUCAUCCUGCACGCGGCAUGGCUGCAUCAGAGUUUCCUCCAUUGUGCAAUAUUCCUCACUGCUGCCUCCCGUAGGAGUCUGGUCCGUGUCUCAGUACCAGUGUGGGGGAUCACCCUUUCAGGCCCCCUAUCUAUCGUAGCCUUGGUGAGCUCUUACCUCACCAACUAGCUAAUAGAACGCAUGCUCAUCUAUAACCACCGGAGUUUUAAUUAUUAAAUGAUGCCAAAUAAUAAUGUUAUGAGGUAUUAAUCCAAAUUUCUCUGGGCUAUCCCUCAGUUAUAGGUAGAUUGCAUACGCGUUACUCACCCGUGCGCCACUCGUCAUCAAGAGCAAGCUCUUAUGUUACCGUUCGACUUGCAUGUGUUAGGCCUGCCGCUAGCGUUCAUCCUGAGCCAGGAUCAAACUCU
RNAcentral lists this ribosomal RNA (783 nucleotides) under uncultured bacterium. Its description in RNAcentral is "partial 16S ribosomal RNA". The record is from RNAcentral.